CGGGCGGACGGGUGAGUAACGCGUGGACAACCUGCCCUAUGCAGGGGGAGUAACAUCCGGAAACGGGUGCUAAUACCGCAUAAGCGCACAGUACCGCAUGGUACAGUGUGAAAAGCUGAGGCGGCAUAGGAUGGGUCCGCGUUGGAUUAGGCAGUUGGCGGGGUAACGGCCCACCAAACCGACGAUCCAUAGCCGGCCUGAGAGGGUGGACGGCCACAUUGGGACUGAGACACGGCCCAGACUCCUACGGGAGGCAGCAG
This 260-nucleotide ribosomal RNA is filed under the name uncultured bacterium. RNAcentral's name for it is "partial 16S ribosomal RNA". It matches the Rfam family "Bacterial small subunit ribosomal RNA", at positions 95 to 354 of the family's 1533-position model. The record is from RNAcentral.